RNAcentral lists this ribosomal RNA (303 nucleotides) under Triticum aestivum (bread wheat). RNAcentral's name for it is "partial small subunit ribosomal RNA". The record is from RNAcentral. Lineage: Eukaryota; Viridiplantae; Streptophyta; Magnoliopsida; Poales; Poaceae.
AUGGUUCAGACAAACCAGAAGAAAAAGGAGGAGUCCGAGGCCCUUGUCAACCAGAUGAUGUUGGAGAAAAUGACAUUUGCAGCUGCAAACGCUUCUGUCACUCAGGAGAAGAAUGAGGUUGUACAGAAGAAGAUGCAACUAGAAUUAGAUGUGGCUGAUAUGAAGGAGAAGUACCAGAGGAAGAUGAAAAGAAUGAAAAGAGAGCUUCAGUGCAAGGAGAAGUGGCUACUGAUGUCAGUUAGCUGCAAUGUAACUGUUGUGGCUGUAGUAAUUUGUCUGUUUGCAAUGAAGCUGCUUUCUUAA